This 630-nucleotide ribosomal RNA is filed under the name Escherichia sp. C25. RNAcentral describes it as "bacterial SSU rRNA". It matches the Rfam family "Bacterial small subunit ribosomal RNA", at positions 823 to 1452 of the family's 1533-position model. Lineage: Bacteria; Pseudomonadati; Pseudomonadota; Gammaproteobacteria; Enterobacterales; Enterobacteriaceae. The record is from RNAcentral.
GUUGUGCCCUUGAGGCGUGGCUUCCGGAGCUAACGCGUUAAGUCGACCGCCUGGGGAGUACGGCCGCAAGGUUAAAACUCAAAUGAAUUGACGGGGGCCGCACAAGCGGUGGAGCAUGUGGUUUAAUUCGAUGCAACGCGAAGAACCUUACCUGGUCUUGACAUCCACGGAAGUUUUCAGAGAUGAGAAUGUGCCUUCGGGAACCGUGAGACAGGUGCUGCAUGGCUGUCGUCAGCUCGUGUUGUGAAAUGUUGGGUUAAGUCCCGCAACGAGCGCAACCCUUAUCCUUUGUUGCCAGCGGUCCGGCCGGGAACUCAAAAGGAGACUGCCAGUGAUAAACUGGAGGAAGGUGGGGAUGACGUCAAGUCAUCAUGGCCCUUUACGACCAGGGCUACACACGUGCUACAAUGGCGCAUACAAAGAGAAGCGACCUCGCGAGAGCAAGCGGACCUCAUAAAGUGCGUCGUAGUCCGGAUUGGAGUCUGCCACUCCAUCCAUGAAGUCGGAAUCGCUAGUAAUCGUGGAUCAGAAUGCCACGGUGAAUACGUUCCCGGGGCCUUGUACACACCGCCCGUCACACCAUGGGAGUGGGUUGCAAAAGAAGUAGGUAGCNUAACCUUCGGGAGGGCG